This 442-nucleotide ribosomal RNA is filed under the name uncultured bacterium. Its description in RNAcentral is "partial 16S ribosomal RNA". It matches the Rfam family "Bacterial small subunit ribosomal RNA", at positions 338 to 795 of the family's 1533-position model. The record is from RNAcentral.
CCUACGGGAGGCAGCAGUAGGGAAUCUUUCACAAUGGGCGAAAGCCUGAUGGAGCAACGCCGCGUGCAGGAUGAAGGCCUUCGGGUUGUAAACUGCUUUUAUAAGCGAGAAAUAUGAUGGUAACUUAUGAAUAAGGAUCGGCUAACUACGUGCCAGCAGCCGCGGUAAUACGUAGGAUCCGAGCAUUAUCCGGAGUGACUGGGUGUUUAGGGUUGCGUAGGUUGCAUAAUAAGUAGCUAGGGAAAUCUGGUGGCUAAACCAUUCAGACUAUUAGCUAAACGGUGAAGCUCGAGAGCGUUAGAGGUAACUGGAAUUUCUAGUGUAGGGGUGAAAUCCGUAGUAAUUAGAAGGAACACCAAGAGCGUAGGCAGGUUACUGGGACGGUUCUGACACUAAGGCACGAAAGAGUAGGGAGCAAACGGGAUUAGAUACCCCUGUAGUC